GCUAUCAUCAAAGUUCCACUUUACAUUAAUGGAGGAGGAAUGCGUUACAGUUCAAGCAGCAAAAAUGGCUGCAAUAGUUUUGUUCGAGGUCGAAAAUAUUCGGUGAAGAUGUGUUCUGCUCCAGCACAAAAUGUUGAGGUUUUAGUUAAAUCAAAAAUCGAGCCACUCCCUAUAAUGGUGAAUGGUUGUACUGGCAAAAUGGGGAGGGCAGUUCUUGAAGCAUCCAUCGCUGCGGGACUUCAACCUGUGCCUAUAUGUUUUGGUGGUCCACAAGAUGAAGGAAAAACUGUGGAGGCGGGUGGAAAAGAGAUAAUUGUGCAUGGUCCUUCGGAUAGAGAAAACCUCUUGUCCUCUGUCUUUGAGGAACACCCUAAUCUAAUUGUAGUGGACUACACAUUGCCUGCUGCAGUGAAUGAUAAUGCUGAAUUAUACUGUAAAGUUGGAGUGCCUUUUGUAAUGGGAACAACUGGUGGAGAUAGGGAGAAGCUGUACAAAACAGUGGUAGACUCAAAAGUUUAUGCUGUGAUCUCCCCACAAAUGGGAAAGCAGGUGGUAGCUUUUCUCGCAGCCAUGGAAAUCAUGGCAGAACAAUUCCCUGGAGCUUUCUCUGGGUACAGUUUACAGGUGAUGGAGUCUCAUCAAGCAAGUAAACUGGACACUUCUGGAACUGCGAAGGCUGUUAUCUCUUGCUUUGAGAACCUAGGUGUUUCUUUUGAUUUGGAUAAGGUACAACUAAUACGAGACCCCGUGCAACAAGUUGAGAUGGUUGGUGUACCAGAAGAGUACUUGUUAGGCCAUGCUUUCCAUAUGUACCAUUUGACCUCACCAGACGGAACUGUUUCUUUUGAAUUUCAGCACAAUGUUUGUGGUAGAUCAAUCUAUGCAGAGGGAACAGUUGAUGCUAUACUUUUCCUUGCUAAGAAGGUGAAAUUGAAAGAAGAGAAGCGGAUAUAUGACAUGAUCGACGUGCUGCGAGAGGGCAACAUGCGAUAGCAGCUGAGUUACAUAUGCUGGAGUAGUAAGAUGUAUAACAUUUAGACCUGUCGGUGGAGAGAAACGAAUGGUGGGUUCAAUUUUCUUGAUUUUGUCCUUCCAUUGGUUAGGAUCUGGAGUUGAAUGAUUCUUAAGAUGCAGCAAUCAAAAUAAUAUGAUUAGUAGGUUUAGCUCCAGCCUCCAUGCAAGCAUUGAGUGUGCUUCUCUUGUUGUAUGCUUU
This 1213-nucleotide unclassified non-coding RNA is filed under the name Hevea brasiliensis (rubber tree). Lineage: Eukaryota; Viridiplantae; Streptophyta; Magnoliopsida; Malpighiales; Euphorbiaceae. The record is from RNAcentral.